This 32801-nucleotide long non-coding RNA is filed under the name Brassica napus (rape). RNAcentral describes it as "long non-coding RNA (BNAP_LNC006809)". Lineage: Eukaryota; Viridiplantae; Streptophyta; Magnoliopsida; Brassicales; Brassicaceae. The record is from RNAcentral.
GGAGGAAAAGGUAUAGAAGGAGUUUUACAAUAUUAGUUUGGAGCUAGAUUGUGAAUAGAAAUAAUUUGUUUUCUUAGGGUUUAUAUUCUAGAGUUGUAAAGGAGUAAGGAGUAGUUAUUCACAAAGGUGCACUAGUUGUAAACGUGUUUUUUUGAUGAAUACAAUUUUUUAAAAAAAAUGUAAACAAUAUUGUAAAGCCGAAUAAUAAUUGGCAAAUUUACCAACUAUCGAUAACUUUUCAGAUAAAAAAGAACCAAUAAGUUUCAUACCUUUUGUAUAAUGUUAACAAAGUAUUUCGUGGAAACAAGCCUGGCCCGCAGCAGAAGCAAUCGCUUAGGACCCAAGCCUUUUUCAAUUUUUUUAGGCUAAAUUUUUUUAUUGGUUUUUUUAUUAAAAAUUACACAGUUAAAACUCAGAUUUUGUGUGGGGCCUUUACCACUCAUAAACAGGCGCUGUGUGGAAUCAGCAACCCCUACAAGUCCAGGGAUAUUUCCACUGGCGAGCGUCUACACAAACAUGGAUUAUUUAUUCUGGAGGAAGAAUGCCAUCAUUCAGCCGGACCAAGAUAGGGAUCCUUAUCCUUGGAUAAUAUGGUAUAUUUGGAAGGCUCGCAAUGAUAAACUUUUCAGAGGUAUAGAUAGAGAUCCUUUGGAGCUUGUUCGACAUGCAGAGAGUGAAUGCCAAGCAUGGUUUAAUGCAAAUGAGAUGAUUGCACCAGUAGGACAGGCCAACGAUAAUGAGGUGAACCAAGCCAUAAGUUUGGGUAGUAUUUGCAUGCUAGAUGGAUCGUGGACAGCUUCUGACAGAUUUAGUGGAUGUGGAUGGAUCUGGACUGACAGUGCGGAAAACGUGCAACUUAUGGGAACACGAAAUUUCACUCGUUGUGAAUCAGCACUACACUCGGAGGUAGAAGCACUGCGAUGGGCGAUGGAGAAUAUGCUUCAACACUCACCGUGCCAGAGAUUUGGAACAGACUGCAAAGAACUAAUCGCCAUGAUAAAGGAACCUCAGGAGUGGCCAAGCUUCGCGACAGAACUGGAAAAAAUAGAGACCCUGCAGAUUUGUUUCCCGGAAUUCGAGAUCAUCUAUGUGCCACGAGUGCGCAAUCAAUCCUCAGAUUUUUUAGCUAAGACUGCAAGAACUUUUCGUAGGGAGUUAUUUUUUAUUGGUUGUUCUAUUCCGGUCUGGUUACCCAGACCACCUCAAGUUUGAGUAAUAGAAUGGCCGUUUGACGUAAAAAAAAAAAAAAAACAGGCGCUGUGUGGAAUAUAGAAGAAAGAAAGAAAGUGAACAAGAACCUCAAUCUUUAAACAUUUCCAAAUUUAUAUAGAUACAAAUUACAAUGUAUGGUGGAAAAAAUUAUAAUACUGUUUAUUUAAAAUAUAUAUAUUAGCAGUAUUUACAAUAAAUAUUUUACCAAAAAAAACUAUAAAUAUUGAUCAUGGUGAUGGAUGAUGAGUCAGGUUCUAUGAUAAUCAUAACAAUCUAUCUAUCUAUUAUUAGAAAAUCAUGUUUGCUUCUCUCACAGGCCUCAACGUCGGAGUUCACAUAGGAAAGUCGCGCGUUCAGAAGCCGCCACAUGUCCACUUACGCAAAACGCUUCGUAUCAUUUAUUCUUCACCGUAGUGGGCUUCUUCUUCCGCGUGUUAUGAGUUUGGGCUGUGGAAUUUAGAACUGUGUCCGGCUCGAAAGAACAGAUGAUGGCGUAGAUCUAUUGUCACCUUCAUCGUCUUCAACGAUGGCAAUCCUCCAGUUCUAGGGUUCAUCCUGUUUUCGAGCUCUAUUUAGUUAAAUCAUCAAUGGAGUUUUGGUAGGGUGAUGUGAGACAAAUCUUGGUGACGUAUCCUUGGACCAAGCUGCUAUCAUGUCGUUUCGACUUGAUUUCUUCAUCUCAAAACCGUUACAGGGUGCAUUGAACAUUGCCAUUAACGACCUCCUUAAAUCCUUCUACCCACUCUAAGCACGAUUUUUCAUUCAAUGUAUCUUCCCUCUUUCAAGCGGUGGAUCUCUAACUAUAAAAAGGUGAGUCUUGGACCCGUAGACAGACCUUUCUCCAAAAAUACUCUGGCGACAAAUGGGAACUCCAAGCCAAAGAGAUUCUGCAACAAAUGUUUGCUUCUCCGUCUCCGGUAAACACAUCAGAUCUGCUCUCUCGAGACGGCAUGGCUUUGUGAAGCAGAACUCUGCGAUGAUCCCUGAAUAUAGCAAAGCGGAAGGAGGCGGAGUAGUUUUGGAUACGAGCUUUGGUGAUGAAUUUGGUCGUGACCAUUUUGGACACACACACCUACGGUUAAGUUUAAGAAAGGUGAUAACAAAGGACUACAAGUUGCUGUAAAAGUUAUUCUAAAACCAAAGGUUAGUGCUUUUUGAUUUAAUGUCUUCUGGUUCUGUACUAACGAUGAUGAGAUCUGUUGGAUUUUUUUGUAAUCUGUGUAGUUGUGUGGAGAGAAAUGAAGAUCUUGAGAGCUUUGUCUGGUCAUGAUAACCUUGCUCAUUUCUAUGAUGCAUAUGAGGAUCAUUGAUAAUGUCUACAGUGAAUGUAGUGAUAAUGCAAGUGAUUUGUUGUUUUAGGCUACGUGAAGGAGGAGAGCUUUUCGAUAGAUACUCUUAAGGUAAGGGAACAGUACACUUCCGACGUAGGAUUGUAUGUGCUAUACUGAACUUGGUGGUGUGUUUUAUGUGCAGAGGUGGGAAGUAUAUGAGUAGGACGCAGAGACUGUUAUGAUUCAAAAAAAAAAUAUGAGUUUGCAUUUUGUCAUCUCGGUGUUCUACACCUAGAUCUCAUACCUGAGGUGAUUAAAAGAAUCUUUACUUCUGUUUAUACAUAUCUUAUUGACGUUUUGUCGCCAUCUUAUUGACAUUUUCUUGAAACUCUUUGCUUAAUAUUUUUCUGUUUAUCUCAACAGAAGACACUUCUGAGUUGAAUGAAAUAGAUUCUGGUUUUAUUAGAUUACAACGAGGCGAGAAUCAACUUAUAAAAAUUGAGCUUUAGGUAAGAGACAAGUUCUUGGAUAUAUCACUCUAUCUAUGAGGGAUGAUUAAACCAAGUUGAUAAAAUAGAAGAUUAGAGCUUUAUAGAAACACUAAUUGAAAUUCAUCAUUCCCCCUACAUAUCUAUUUGUUAAUCUGCGUCAUCUUCUUUACUUCCAAAUUUUUCUUUAUGUUUGCUUCAGAGUCAAAGUAAGGAAGCGUUAACAUUUACCUCUGGGACAAGCAGCCAUAGAAUUAUGAAAAAGAAACUCAAUGCAACUCAUGAAGUGUUAAACAAAUUGUGAAACACAAAAGAAUAUUUGGGUUUCAAGUAUGCUUUGGAAACUUGGUAUAGAGACUUUGAUAUGACUUUUAGGUUUGCAAAAUGAUUGAUUUAUAUCUUCUUAUCUUUUUUUGAAAUACCUUUGUGUUCUUACUAUUCAAUCAUGGUAGUGGCUAAUUAAUGAUUGCAAUCAACUUUGCAAAAAGCAAUCUUUGACCGAUAUCUGUGAACCAACAUUUAGUAAAGUUCACAAAGAAAGUGCUACAAAAAUAUUGACUUGCAGUUGUAAGAAACUGAGUUCGAGAGUUUAUAGAAACCUUAACCCAAUGUUUUAUUUGCUGGCUUCAUGGAUACAUGUGCUUAUUUAUGACUCAUGAAGCAUGAAGGUUUAUUUCCAUAUAAACUUCAAUUUUGUAUUGAGUUGAUUUUUGUUUUUAAAAAAGAUCAGACACUGCUUCUGAUUGAAAAAAUCAAGUGACCAUUGUCCAUUCACAAAUAAUGAUAUCAACUGAACAGAAUAAAGCUAUCAUCUUUACAUUUUUACCACAAAAAAAAAAGAAUAAUGCUAGCACAAAAUUGGAAAACUUACCGGCGGUAACGGUGAAUGCGAAUUGCAACAAUAGAAAAAAAAAAACAUCAGUAGUGGAAAAAGGAAGACUCUAUUAGAAUACUAGGGGGGUCCGCGCUUCGCGUGAAAUAUUAUUUUAUUAUGGUUAAAUAAGAUGUUUUUGGAUGAUGUAAUUAUGUGUUCAGUAUUUAUUUAUGAAGAGUAUUAUUAAAUAUUUUAUUGUGUUAUGUAGUAUUAGGGUAUAGGUUAAUAUAUUAUGUAUUCGUCUUUUCAAUAAUGUGUUGUUGUCUGUAUAUUAGUAUUUGUUAGUGGUGAAUUGACCUUCUAAUGUAAAGCAUAUUGAAUUUCAAUAACUUUGAAUUUAAGCAAUUGUUGAUUCUAAUAUUAACGGUUUCAGCGUCAAAAUUGUAUUUCAUAUUUUCACAUUGUUGAACAUUAUUCUUUUUUUAACAACAUUAAACAUUAUUCUUUUAAGAUGUUUUUUUUGUCUCCGCAUAUUUUGACUUGAGCUGACACCAUCUAUGUAUUUUAUUUACAUUUCUGGUAUGUGGUGUUUCUUACCAUCACCGGAAAAAGUUCACCUUUGUUUCUCUUAUUUUUCCUCUUCUUCUUCUCUUGUGAGAUUAUCUGAUAUUUGUUGUAGAUCAGGUUUACGAGUUCCAAGUUGUGCGGUUGUUUCUCAUGAUGUUGUACACUGUUCUAGUUAAUAUUUUUCCUCUUCUUCCUUAGAUUUGGCUAAUGUUAGGAACUACAUCUCCUUGGGUUGGGUCAGAGUUUAGUUGUCUUCCUCGUAGUUGGCUUGCCGUUGAUAGUCUCUGCUAGUCUUGGUUUUCAAGAUUUGGUUUUUGGUGAUCUGACUUUUUAUGUUCUCUUCAUAGCUCGAGGAUGGCUCCACAGUUUGCUGAUUUUGUGUAGUCUUUUUUUCUUUCUUUGUUCUCUCACUUCGUUGCACUUUUCAUCGCUGGUUGCGUCUCUAGUGGCUCUUCAUUUCAUAUAUAUACCACUCAAGGUUUGGAUAGUGUUUUCCUUCACGUAUGUUUUGUGGGCUUGGAAGAUUAUUUCUUGUCUCAAACUUGAGCUCUGAUUUCUCUGUGGUUGGCUUUCAUUCUCCCUCCCUUAUGUUGCUUUUCUUCUUCUCUUGCUUCCUUUGGUAUAAGUUUGUAGAGUUAGUCUCUUGGUGCUUUGGUCUCUUCUAUUCAGAGCUUUUUGGUUCUUCAUUGGUAUGAGGCUCCUUGUAUGUGGUUGUUUUGUCUGUGAGGUGCUUCAUACUUUUUAGCUGGUGGUUGUGCAUUAUGCAUGUGUUUUCCUGCUUUGUGGUGACUUUGGUCUGGUGAUUAUUCUUUCUUUGAUCAUAUUUUGUGUGUUUUGGAUUGGUGUUUGAUCGCGUUCAUUUGUGUUCCAGACUUUUAUUGAGUAAGUGUUACUAUAGUAUUCUAUUUUUUCUUUGUGAUUGUGGAGAUUUAAGUUUAGAUUACGUCUCAUACUCUAGUUUUUUUUAGUUUAGUUAUUUUAUGAUUUUUAAUAGUAAAAUAAAUUAUAAUUUGUAAAUAAAAUAAUAGAAAAUUAAUAAAAUAGUAAAAUUUAUGUUAUUUUUAGUUGUGAAUAAAUAAAAUAUUUAAAAUCUAUUUUUAUUUUUUUAUUUUUUCUUUAUUCAUCUCCAAUGUUAUUGACUAAUAAAAUAUAUUAUAAAACUUCAUAUAAUAAUGGUUAGUGAGAGAAAAAUAAUAGUGCACAAUUAGAAAAUACUAACCAAAUUGCAAUAGUGUAAAAGAAAAAAGACCUAAAAUGUUAAAACAAAAAUACAUGGGAACACAUGUCAUCAAAUAUCGUUUCUAUUUGUCAUAAGAAGAGAAAAAGCUAAUUUUAUAUAUAUAUAGGCUUUUAACUAAAUUAAGUUUAAUUGAAAUUAAACUUAUGACCCAUAUGUGGUCUCUUCUUAUCUACAUCAAUAUUUCUUUGAUUAAAAAGUUAUAAGUCAUGAAAUUGAUCAAAAUGAUUUUUCUUUGGUCAUUGUUUCAGUGUAACAAAUCAGUUUCAUUGUUAUAUUUGUUACUUCAUCUCAACCCAAAUGUUCUUCAGUGAAUAUUAAACUAUUAAUUUUUUACACACACACGAUUUUACCUUUCAUAUUGUUUGAUUUGGUUCGCGUUAAAAAAAAUUGUUUUGUAUGUGAGAAUUUUAUCCUUAAUUGUAUUGAAGCAAACCUUUCUUUAUAGAAUAAGAUGUAUUCAGGUAGGUUUGAUAUAGUGUACAUAGUUUUAGAUGAUGAAAAAAAAAUGAAUCGUUUAAUAUAUCUACUUUUUCAUAUUUAUCCACAUUCACUUUAUACAAAUUUGAAACAUGUGGCUCUGCAGCUCUUACAUACGUGCAGGCAGGCCAUCUUUUGUUAAAGAGGGAUCUCUACGGCUUCAGUGUUGUGCUCAACCAGAUUAUAACCCGACGCCCAAACCAAUGAGAGAAACAAACCUAAGGAUUAAUGGCUCCACCACAAUAACUACGCAUGCAGCUGCAUGAGCAUUAGUUUGGAUAGCUUGCUGAUCUCUUUACGAUACCUACGGCCCAAGAUGUAGGUUGUAGUUCUAUUUUUUGUUUGUGAUUGUGGAGAUUUAAGUUUAGAUUACGUCUCAUACUCUAGUUUUUUUUAGUUUAGUUAUUUUAUGAUUUUUAAUAGUAAAAUAAAUUAUAAUUUGUAAAUAAAAUAAUAGAAAAUUAAUAAAAUAGUAAAAUUUAUGUUAUUUUUAGUUGUGAAUAAAUAAAAUAUUUAAAAUCUAUUUUUAUUUUUUUAUUUUUUCUUUAUUCAUCUCCAAUGUUAUUGACUAAUAAAAUAUAUUAUAAAACUUCAUAUAAUAAUGGUUAGUGAGAGAAAAAUAAUAGUGCACAAUUAGAAAAUACUAACCAAAUUGCAAUAGUGUAAAAGAAAAAAGACCUAAAAUGUUAAAACAAAAAUACAUGGGAACACAUGUCAUCAAAUAUCGUUUCUAUUUGUCAUAAGAAGAGAAAAAGCUAAUUUUAUAUAUAUAUAGGCUUUUAACUAAAUUAAGUUUAAUUGAAAUUAAACUUAUGACCCAUAUGUGGUCUCUUCUUAUCUACAUCAAUAUUUCUUUGAUUAAAAAGUUAUAAGUCAUGAAAUUGAUCAAAAUGAUUUUUCUUUGGUCAUUGUUUCAGUGUAACAAAUCAGUUUCAUUGUUAUAUUUGUUACUUCAUCUCAACCCAAAUGUUCUUCAGUGAAUAUUAAACUAUUAAUUUUUUACACACACACGAUUUUACCUUUCAUAUUGUUUGAUUUGGUUCGCGUUAAAAAAAAUUGUUUUGUAUGUGAGAAUUUUAUCCUUAAUUGUAUUGAAGCAAACCUUUCUUUAUAGAAUAAGAUGUAUUCAGGUAGGUUUGAUAUAGUGUACAUAGUUUUAGAUGAUGAAAAAAAAAUGAAUCGUUUAAUAUAUCUACUUUUUCAUAUUUAUCCACAUUCACUUUAUACAAAUUUGAAACAUGUGGCUCUGCAGCUCUUACAUACGUGCAGGCAGGCCAUCUUUUGUUAAAGAGGGAUCUCUACGGCUUCAGUGUUGUGCUCAACCAGAUUAUAACCCGACGCCCAAACCAAUGAGAGAAACAAACCUAAGGAUUAAUGGCUCCACCACAAUAACUACGCAUGCAGCUGCAUGAGCAUUAGUUUGGAUAGCUUGCUGAUCUCUUUACGAUACCUACGGCCCAAGAUGUAGGUUGUAGUAGAAAACUUGAUGAAGAUUAUCAACGAAUCAGAGAUUGAGAUUGUUAGAUGGCCAUGGGUAAGGAAAGUAGUGAACUAAGUAGCAAGAGUAAGGCCACAUGAGACGUGAGGGGAAGUAGUUAGUGUUGGAAUACAAUUUUUGCGUUUUGAAGAUUUUUUGCAAGUUUCAUACAAUAUAUAAAUCAAUUAAAGGCAAUUUAGUGGUUCAUACGAGUAAUUGGUCUGUCAAAUAUAUCAAUGACACUACUUCAAUAUCAAAUCCCAAAGCUUGGUUUGCUAAAAUUAUAGAAUAAAUGACAAUGGAAAAGCUUCGUAUAAAUUCUAAUACUUGAACAUGUUAUUUUAUGUUAUAUAUAUAUUUAUUUCGCUAUCCAGAAGAAGCACUAACAAAUGUACUCAUGUAUGCCAUGAACUUUAUAAUUCAUACAUGCAUUAUAUUUUAUCAACUCUCACACUUUCAAAAUUUUAAAGUCUAUAAAAACGAGAAAAAUAAAUAUGGAGUUGAUGAAUUUUUAAAACAUACUUUGGACGACGUGGAACAAAAAAUUGAAAAGGCAAAAAAAAUUUCAAACACUUAUAAAAGUAAGAUAAAUAAUAUUUAGAUAAUGAGACAUGUUUACAAUUCAACCAGUUAAAUACCAUAAUUGAAAUUUAAUUAAUUUUUUCUUAUUCAGCUAUUCACCUUAUAUAUAAUUUCCAAUAACAAAAAAAAUUGAAUACUUAAAUUUUUGAAUUGCAUAAGACAAAAACAAUGAAUCAUUUAAAAUUAUUUUAUACUAGGGGUUGUCCCGUCCUACGGGCGGGUGAUUUUAAACUAAAAUAAUUUUAUAUUAAAAUAUUUUAAUUUAAAUUUACUUUGUUACUAAACUAUAAAUGUAAUCUAUUUUUAUUCUAAAAGUAUACUGUAAAUUUUAUUAAAUUUUGUUGGUUUGAGUUGAAAAGACCACUAACAUUUUUUUGUUAGAGAACACAAAAUUAUUAAAUUUAGAAAUUAAGAAAAAAGUAAAUAUUUAUAUUUUUCUAUUUGAUUUAUAUUUCAGUUUUUAUAGUUGAAGAAAAUCUAAGGUAAAAAUAACUAAUAUUUUAUUUCUAAGAUUAUCAGAUUUUAAUAUUAUUACAAUAACUAAUUUUCACGAGAAUAAAUUAAUACACCCAUCUCCAAACUAAAUCAAUUGCAAAUCAAAUGUAAUGUGAUAAAAUUAUUAAAAGUUAUAUUUUAAAUCAAUAUAUAAAUAGUUUCAAUAAUGCCUUAAAUAAUAAUAUAUAGUAUAUAUUAUGUAACAACAAAUGAUGUUUUAUUUUGCGCGGAGUUUUAUAUCUUUGGUUACAUCUAGUUCCUAAAUAUGUUUAUAUAUUGAUUUGCUUAUUUUUUUAGUUUCUCAAUCUUCUCAACACCCCCAUAUUUUAUAGGGCUGGAGGUCGAGCCUUUUCCAAUGCCACAUGUCCUAAAUAAGAACCGCUUUCAGUCAGUGGGUUUGGACUAUUAAGGUUUUCUCCUUAUGUAGAAAAUAGUGGUGAAAGUCAUUACCUCUCAAGAUAACUUUUACCUGCACCACUGUCAUUAUUAAAAUAGAAAUGGAUUGGAGAGGUUGCAUUCAGGAAGAGCCGACCUGAAAAAAACUUGAGUCAAUUAACAUUUUAAGACCAGCUAUAUCAUGCUUAAGAAAUGGUGGUUAAUUGCUUACUCUCAAUUUAGGGUUGAAGUUUGUGGCAACCACCACCUUCGGUUCAAUAGAAAUUCUCAUUUCAUCAAGAGCUUUCGCCAAUCCUUCAAACACACUUAGGCAUACAUUUGAGUUCCUGGAACGACAGUUGCGAAAUUUUUUAUGCAUGUCGACACAUAGACCUAGUUGCUUUCUAUAUUUGCUCGAAGCAUUAGAGAAGAUAAGAUCAAAUUAUAAUUUAGGAUGACAGCUCAAAUUAUUUAAUUAAGAAAGGAACGUAUAAUCUAUACAAAUGUAUGGGUUCUACAGAGAUAAUGCUCAUUAAUUAUUUGGAACCUGCAUUCGUACGACGACGUGUUCGGUUUCUUGUACCAUAACAGUUUUUAUUUAGAGAUGGUUUCACGUUUAUCCAUAAAACAUACAUAUGAUAGUACAUAUGAUAUGAUGUUGACUUUCUUUGGGCCAAAAGCAGUUUGUAUAUAGUAAUUACCAAAUCACGAAAUAGUGAAGACAGCUAGAACAUUACUUUUCAGUAUAGAUGGGCAUACUAUAUAUUUAAGAAUUCGAGCUAGUUGCAUGAUAAUAAUAAAGAAAGUUGGCUAAACUUUAAUAGAAAAAAAACUGUAUGUGAGUUUAUACCUUUUGAUGCUUAUGGUAAUCAUCAUGUGUUGUACUCUGAGUCUCCUUCCCUGUAUGUAGUUCUAGUCCUCUUUACUUGGCCAACAAUAUCUAUGGAGGAAAUAUAACCAAAGCUAGUAAGUCUUGUAUCAAAGUAGUAUAUUGAGAAGUAUUAAAAGUGUGAAUUUAAAUCUAACCUGGUAAAUCAGAAUUGGUGUUGGCUCGUACCAUUAGUUGGUCAUAAUUCAGAAAUCUGAAGUGCUCCACUGGGAUUGGUUUGAACCGUUUCGGAUAUCUCCAUAAAGACGUUUCGGUUGCUUCUUGUCACUCAAUAACUGUUAGAAGAUGUUCAGCCGGUGUACAUUUCUUGAUGCCUGAAGCCCUGAACCAUCGUCACCUGAGAAGAAGGUAGGUUACUCAGACAACAUCUUGAACACAACUUCGAUAAUAACAUAGUUAAUCAAAAAAGAUCUCAGUUACAAAAAUACCUUGGCAUCAAGCAGUAGCAUAUCCAUGCUCAUCAAUUGACCUCCUUUCUUCACAUUCUGAGACGCCCAAAAACGGAGAAGUCUCGUCUGAACAAUAUCAUUUCACCGGCCUGUCUUCAACUCGAAAAAGUGUAGCUGGAAGUUGCCAUUUUUGAAGAUCUUGUUUGAGAGUUUCAGUCCAGAAGUAAUAGGCGGAGACUAUGGGAAACGGGGAAGCCACAUCGAAAAUAUAUAUAGAUGCUGAAGAUAGCUACUGAACAACAAAUAAAGGCAGCAAUAAAGAAGAGUUCAUGGGAUUUUUGGGUUUUCUCAUUGAAUGACAUAACUCCCGAGAGUUACUUGGCCGAGGAAGUGGAAGAGAGAUGGUAAGCUCUUCGAUUACAGAAACCCUAAUCUUGGAUUACAGGAAGCAGAAGAGGGAUCGUAAGCUCACACACAAAACCAUUGGGCCUGAGAAAACAACAUGAUAUAAGCCCAAACAGAAGUCUUGCUGUCGUAGAGCCCAUAAUGGGUUUCGGUAUUCAGAACGAAAAAAUCGAUUUCAUUUAAAAUUUAAUGAAGUGACACGUGGCGAAAAAUGCCCUAUGCAUACUGAUGAUGUGGCAGCAUAAAGAGGGACUCAAGCCAACUUUAUUAUAUAAGACUAGGGAUUAACCCGGGCUACGCCCGGGAUUUUUAUUAUUUUUAUAAUUUAAAUUGUUAAAUUAUUUAUAUUUAAGGUAUGAUAUAUAUAUUUAUAUAAAUGUUAAGAUGCAUGUCAUAAUUAAAAUUUAUUUUUAAAUUUUAACACGUUAAAUUAACAUAUUUUUUACUAUUUAAAUAUCUUUUUUGUAAUUUUGUUGGCUAUCUAGUUAUCAUAUUUAGCAAAACUAUCCGUUGAGUGUUGAAAUAAAUGUUUUAGAUAUUUAAUUAAACUGUAGAGUAUUUUCGGAUCGACCACAUGCUCAACAAUCGAUCCAUCCGUAAAAAGAUGGUCGAUCUCCUUGGCCAGGUAAGUACAAUUUUAGCAAAAAUAUCUUUGAUUUUCAAAUAUUAAGUAUAUAACUAUUCUUUUGAAUAUUGUUUUUUUGAAUUGUAUUUUUUGAUUAAAUUAUUGUAUUAUAAUGUUUAUGUAAAUAUUUUUUGAUGUUUGAAUUUGUGUUGUUCGUAUACUUAACCUAGAUGAUAUUGAUGUUUAACAAUUUAUUGUUUUCUGGAUAUAGAAAAUAAUGAUAUAUCAAAACAUAUCUAAUACUUGUUAAAUGAUAGUAUAAUGUAAAUUACAUCCAUUAUUUGAAAAUAACCAUUUGUUGUUUUUNNNNNNNNNNNNNNNNNNNNNNNNNNNNNNNNNNNNNNNNNNNNNNNNNNNNNNNNNNNNNNNNNNNNNNNNNNNNNNNNNNNNNNNNNNNNNNNNNNNNNNNNNNNNNNNNNNNNNNNNNNNNNNNNNNNNNNNNNNNNNNNNNNNNNNNNNNNNNNNNNNNNNNNNNNNNNNNNNNNNNNNNNNNNNNNNNNNNNNNNNNNNNNNNNNNNNNNNNNNNNNNNNNNNNNNNNNNNNNNNNNNNNNNNNNNNNNNNNNNNNNNNNNNNNNNNNNNNNNNNNNNNNNNNNNNNNNNNNNNNNNNNNNNNNNNNNNNNNNNNNNNNNNNNNNNNNNNNNNNNNNNNNNNNNNNNNNNNNNNNNNNNNNNNNNNNNNNNNNNNNNNNNNNNNNNNNNNNNNNNNNNNNNNNNNNNNNNNNNNNNNNNNNNNNNNNNNNNNNNNNNNNNNNNNNNNNNNNNNNNNNNNNNNNNNNNNNNNNNNNNNNNNNNNNNNNNNNNNNNNNNNNNNNNNNNNNNNNNNNNNNNNNNNNNNNNNNNNNNNNNNNNNNNNNNNNNNNNNNNNNNNNNNNNNNNNNNNNNNNNNNNNNNNNNNNNNNNNNNNNNNNNNNNNNNNNNNNNNNNNNNNNNNNNNNNNNNNNNNNNNNNNNNNNNNNNNNNNNNNNNNNNNNNNNNNNNNNNNNNNNNNNNNNNNNNNNNNNNNNNNNNNNNNNNNNNNNNNNNNNNNNNNNNNNNNNNNNNNNNNNNNNNNNNNNNNNNNNNNNNNNNNNNNNNNNNNNNNNNNNNNNNNNNNNNNNNNNNNNNNNNNNNNNNNNNNNNNNNNNNNNNNNNNNNNNNNNNNNNNNNNNNNNNNNNNNNNNNNNNNNNNNNNNNNNNNNNNNNNNNNNNNNNNNNNNNNNNNNNNNNNNNNNNNNNNNNNNNNNNNNNNNNNNNNNNNNNNNNNNNNNNNNNNNNNNNNNNNUUUUUAUGCUGUAUGUUUACAUAUUAUUUAUAAUUUUCGAAAAUUAGUAAUAUUAAAAUGUAAAACUAUAUUUUAUGCCACGUGUCAUCUUUCGGAAGAAGUUUUUUUUGCUUAUGUGGACGCUCUAUGGAGCCUCAAGGUUAUAUAGCAAAUUACAUGAGUUUAUGAGUGUAUCUACGCCAAUUACUCUAUAUUUAAUGUAGUAUUUCUAUUUUUUUAUGUUGUAUGUUUACAUAUAUUUAUUAUUUUCGAAAUUAUAUAUAAUGUUUUUUGUUUUUUUAUAAAACGGUAGUAUUACAUUAUGGAAUUAAGGCGUCUUUUUUUUUAAAGUGAAAAAUGGUAACUUUACAUAUGUUCAAUGUAGUUUUUCUAUUUUUUAUGUUGUAUGUUUCAUAUUAUUUAUAAUUUUUGAAAAUUAGUAAUAUUAAAAUGUAAAACUAUAUUUUAUGCCACGUGUCAUCUUUCGGGAGAAUUUUUUUUGCUGAUGUGGACGCUCUAUGGAGCCUCAAAAGGUCCCUUUUAUUAGUAAGGAUUUUUCUAUAGCUACUUAUAUUUUUAUAAUAGAUUCUAAAAUUUAUAUAUUAAAAUAAACAUACUUAUAUUGAAUCAAAACUAAAAUUUAAACAAAAACCGGGUAGUAGUUUGGACUGGCCCUAGUAUAAUAUAAAAACUAGUACUUAUUAGCAAAUUGAGCAAACCCAAUUUGUUAAUGAUUAUUUGGAUUUGAGUUUGGAAAUGUUUAAAGACUGGGGUAUUUAUAAAGAAAACGAUUAAAAACAUAGUGUUUAUUACAAAGCAUUAUUAGCCACAAGGAGUCCAAGUAUACAAACAAAGUAUAAAUGGUCUGGAUUCACGUUUUAUUCAACAACUAAUAAAACUUUAUUUAAACGAAACACAAGAACCUCAGUCUUUAAACAUUUGCAAACUCAAAUCCAAAUAUCGGAAGUGCAGUCUCCACCUGGAUACCUCAUCUCAUGUGCUAGUGCAGGACCAUCAGGUUCAUCACCAAAGUCCACAAAGAGAUCAGGGUUUAUGGAGAGACCACCUUUCUCUGUAUCAACAUCAAGCUGAAUUAUGUGUGACCCUUUAUCCAUGAGUUCCGGGUAAAACUGACGAUCCCAUGCGCUAAAGAGCGAGUUUGUUGCAUACAACCGUUUCCCAUCGAGGCUAAGCUGGAUCAUUUGAGGUCCUCCUCUCAGAGAUUUCCCCUGCAAUUACCAGAGAAGAAGCAGUUUCAAGACAAUGCAAAAUGUUAAAAACCUCAAAAAGAUUUCAUAUUUUGGGUACAAACAAACCUUGAUCUGAGGAACAUCGUAUUGGAAAGUGUUACCAUCUUCUCCAACCGCCUUAACAGGACUGCCCUUUUGUAGUAACCCUCCCACCCAUAUUUGACCGGUUAAGACAGGGUUUUUAGGGUCUUCAAUGUUGUACUGACGAAUGUCUCCAUGAAGCCAGUUCACAAAGUAGAGGAACCGGUCAUCGAGGGAGAUCAAGAAGUCGGUGAUAAGCCCCGGCAUUUCUGGAAGAAUCCAGUUCUCUACUUUCAGUGGUUUAACUUGGAUAACCACCUGAAAAUCAAUUUGUACUAGGUGUUAAUCAUACAUUUGAAAUAAAACAAGAAAAGAAAGAUAAAAAAGAAAGAAGACUUGCCUCAUGGCCCCAUGUUUCAUCACUGUUCUUGAAAAAUCGUAUCAUAUUACUCGACAAAGCACCCCCAACAUACCCUGUAUCCUUAGAUGGAUCAUGCAAGAAUCUAAUCUGCAACCACAACAGGGAAAGAUUAUUAAUGUUAGUCUGAAGAAAGAAAACAUAUAAAUGAGACGUUUGAUUAAUUAUGUAUACCUCUAAAGGUAACAUGCCAGUCUCUCCAAGGUCAAUUAAUUGUUUCAUUUCACCUCCUGGCCAACUGUAAACAUGGAGAUGGCUUCCGUACAAGCCAUCAGCAACGUGUUGGAGAUCGAAACCUUUGGUGAAGGCUUUAGGUGCUCCCCAAGAAGUGCUUAUCAUUGUCUUGUGCCGCGGUUGAUACCAGAAGUCAUAACCAAACAAGGGACUAUGUCCUUCUUUCUCCCACCUGACAUAAUCCCCCAAUAACCAUAAUGAUUUAGAGUAACUAUUAUUAUCAACAAUGACAAGAAAGAAAGUAAAACAUAAUGAGUUAGUUUUGUAAUAAGCGACCUGUUCUUGAUGUUGAAAUCAGAGUCAAGAAGAAGAAACCCGUUCCCCUUGGCGUUUCCCUCUUCGUCUCCAAGACAGGACACCAAGAUCUCACCAGAGGCAAGGCAAUGAGCCGUGUGUGGAUAAGCCAAUCCAGUCUUUUCAGCAAUCUCCUUAGGAUCCACAUACUUGUACAAAGACGGUGCCCUCGGGUCUGCCUUUGUGUCAAUCGCAUAGAUGCGACCAGAUCUUUAAUUCAAACAAGGAGAAAGAUCAAGAUAGUGAACUUAAACAUCACUAAAUGAAUUCAGGCUGAAGGAAAUUUACAUAAGGGAUGGUAAGACGAGGUAACGUCGAUCAGCGGAAGCAUCACCAUGGCAAGAGCUGCAAGAGUUCCAACCAGAGUGAUGAAGCUCAUCACCCACAAAAGGCAUUGGCAAUCUGUGAAUGACGGUUGAAUAGGUUGGUGAGUUUGGAUCAACAUCCACCGUUGCCAAGUAAUCAGGCUUCUCUCGUCCCGUUCCUUCAAAACCAAAAAAAAAAAAAAAAAAUAUAUAUAUAUAUAUAUUAAAAAGAAGAAUCCACAACCAAAGUACAGUAGGAUCAAAAGAGAACUUAAAAGUAAGAUUCAACCAGACAAUAGAAAAGAACAAAGAUUCUUAGUCAUAAAUUUAUCCUUAAAACAGAGAGAUCUAAUCAGGAAACUGAAAACAGAGAGAGAUCACAAGGGGUGAUUUCGAUCUAGAAUCUUUGAGAUUCCGUAGGACCUACUAAAAAGAUUUUUUCACAUCAUCAUUCAUCAACCAACGUUAAAAGUACAGAUUCUGUCUGAAAAUACUUUUGAAAACGUUCGAUCUCUAACAGGUUAAAAGAAAAUAUAAAACAAAAGUGUACCAGAGUAGACGGCGGUGACGUAGAUGAGCUUUUCCGAUGGACCAGACAUGGCGGCGAGUGGCGUCGCGUAACCAGGACCUGAUUUGCAACAUCCUCCGUCAACGCCGUUGCUCGCGGGAGCUACCACUUCAGUAUUAGUCACCAUUUUCGAUCUCUGCCUUUCUUGAGUCCUGUGUCUCUGAAAUCAAGAUAUAUCUAUUAAAUAUAUAAUUUAAUAUUAUAAGGUAGUGGUUAAGCUUCACGUCUCCUUUGAGUUUAUCGCAAACACACACCCACGUGAUUUUGAUUUGUCAGUGCAAAUAUUUUAGCUGUGACUUUUCGUUGUUAUCUUUUUACUUACAAAAAGUAUGUGUAAGGUAAGAUAUGUGACGGAAAACAAUAUCUUCCGCGUCACUAUAGAUGUAAAUCUUCUAGGAAAACACUGGAUUUGUAGUAUUUUAAUACAUAACUACUGCCAAAUUUGUAGGUUGUGUUGACCAGACCGCAGGAUGUAUCUGAAUUAAAAAUACGUCUCCAUGCAAAAAGCUGAUAAAACAAUAAUGCAAUUCGUCCAUUGACAAAAUAAGAAGAUAAAAAUGAAUCUGUGAAGUGCAACUGUCUAAUUACGGUGUAUUAUUUUUUACGGCAAACUUAAAAUUGUAUUAACUUUUAAACCGAACCAGCUAGCGAACAGAAAAUGUUUUGGGUCAUGGUCAUUGUAGUUCGAUCGGGUUUAAUUGGACUAAACUAAAUUUAAUGAUAUUUUGUAAAUAAUAAGCAUAUAUUUACAAAAUAGAUCAUAUCAAAUAAAAUAUUUAAAUAGCCAUUAUAUAUAACAAAAUAUAACAAAAAUAAAAAGAAAUUAAUAGCUCAAAUCUAAAAUCAAUAUGAAAAUCACAUUUAAAAUUUAUUCUCAGAUCUUAUCACUCUAAAUCCUUAUCACCUGUAAAAAAUUAUAUACACAUUAGGUAAAAAAUAUAUUUUGAAAUACAAAUUUCACAAACGUAAAUGUUUCAAUUAUUAAAGUCUUCAAAACAAAUAAUCAUGAAAUAAAAUUUAAACAAAAUGAAAAGUAAACAAAAACAAUAUCUUAACGUGAAUAUUAAACUUGUAUCUUGUAACUUAUGAGUUGUAGAGAAGUAAAAAAAAAAUGAGAGGCAAUACUUUAUUAAACUUUAAUAAAUCAUAUUUUUGCUUUAAGAAGAAGCUGAACUUUUUGUUUCAAAAUAUAUUUUUUAAAAUUUUGGUUUAUAUACUAACUGAGGUUUAUAUACUAACCGGGGUUUGGUCGGUUCAUUGGAUCGCCGGUUCCCGGGUUUCUGACCGUUUAAUAUGUGUUUUUAACCGGUUCAACUUUAAUUGGGCUUUGGCAUUAACCCAACCCGAAUUAUUGUCGGCUCAUGAUUCAACCCGGUCCGGGUUUAAAAAUACUGCUCGAAACAUAGCAAGCAUACAAAAUUGGAUUUAACUAAGAGGGAGUAUAAGAACAACAAUUGUUAAGAAAGACCACUAAAAGGACCUUUCCUAGCUAACACAUGCGUUUGCUUGGUUACCCAAUCUUUUCUUCAUUCAUUUCACAUAUAAAUCUUUUACCAUGGCCCAUGGGUAAUGCUAAAAAAACCUCAAAAGAAAGGGGCACAAUGUAAAUAGAAAGUUUUAUUAUCUCGGAUUAAGAACAACGAUAUAGCAGAAACAACUUUUCAUUUUGAUUCAAAACACAUGAAUCUAGCGUCAUCAUCAUAUUUAUUACACUCUAGAAAACACAAAAAUGAGUCAAACCCAAUUUUACCCUUUUAAGGGGGCCAAUUCAAAUCCAGAUAUCAGAGGUGCAGUCUCCUCCGGGAUACAUCAUCUCAUGGGCAAGCGCAGGACCAUCAGGUUCAUCACUGAAGUCUACAAAGAAAUCAGGGUUUAUUGAGAGACCACCUUUCUCAGUAUCAACAUCAAUCUGAAUUAUGUGUGAUCCUUUAUCCAUGAGUUCUGGGUAAAACUGACGGUCCCACGCGCUAAAUAGUGAGUUUGUUGCAUACAAUCAUUUACCAUCAAGGCUCAGCUGGAUCAUCUGAGGUCCUGCUCGUAGAGAUUUCCCCUACAAAUACUUCAAUAUUAAAAAAACAACUUGUAUAGAAAAAAAAUGCUAAAAUUCUCCCAAAUGAAUGCUUUUGUUUUGUGGGUAAAAAAACAAACCUUGAUCUGAGGAACAUCAAACUGGUAAGUGGUACCAUCUUCUCUAACAGCCUUAACAGGGCUGCCUUUUUGUAGUAAUCCCCCCCACCCAAAUUUGAGCGGUUAAGACAGGAUUUUUAGGGUCUUCAAUGUUGUACUGACGAAUGUCUCCAUGAAGCCAGUUCACAAAGUAGAAAAACCGAUCAUCGAGGGAGAUCAAGAAGUCGGUGAUAAGCCCCGGCAUUUCUGGAAGAAUCCAGUUCUCUACUUUCAGUGGUUCAACUGAUAUAACCACCUACCAAAAAGAAUCAAACUAAUGGUUAAUCAUAGCUUUCAAGAACCAAAGAAAAAAAGAGGUUAUGAAGAUAAUUCCGAAACUCUACUUGCCUCAUGGCUCCAUGUGUCAUCACUGUUCCUGAAAAAUCUUAUCAUAUUACUCGACAAUGCACUCCCAACAUACCCUGUACCUUUAGACGGAUCAUGCAAGAAUCUUAUCUGCAACAACCACAUAAAACAUUACAUUAUAUUCCUCGGUAACACAGAUCCUCACAUUUUAUAUAACAUGUUGAAGUAAUGUUACUACCUCGAGAGGUAAGAGACCAGUAUUACCAAGGUCAAUAAUCUGUUUCAUUUCACCUUCUGGCCAUUUAUAAAUAUGUAAAUGACUUCCGUACAAGCCAUCAGCAACGUGCUGGAGAUUGAAACCUUUGGAGAAAGCUUUAGGUGCUCCCCAAGAAGUGCUGAUCAUCGUCUUGAACCGAGGCUGGUACCAGAAAUCAUACCCAAACUUUGGGGCAUGCCCUGGUUUGUCCCACCUGCUUUUGACGUUGAAAUCAGAGUCAAGAAGGAGAAACCCGUUCCCUUUGGCGUUUCCUUCUUUGUCACCAAGGCAAGAGACCAACAUGUCGCCAGAGGCGAGGCAGUGAGACGUGUGCGGAAAUGCUAAUCCUGUCUUCUCAGAAAUCUCUUUAGGUUCUACAACCUUGUACAAGGACGGAGCCUUUGGGUCAGUCAUUGUGUCGAUUGCGUAGAUGCGACCAGAUCUUCAUCAAGACAAGAAAGAAAACGUUAGAUCAUAAUGAUCUACUGUAGAUAUGAAGCGUCAUUAAUAAAUAUGCAUAUUAUAUGUAUAUAUAUAUAUUAAUAUCAUAUAAAUUUAAUUAUAUACUAUAUAAAAAUAUAUAAAAAUGUUAAUUUCAAAAUUUUCAUUGAAAAAUUAUUGGGAUUUUAAUAUUAAAUGAUAACUUACAGAGAGUCAAUAGUAAAAAAAUCGAGAGUAGAAAACCUAAUCUCCUUUUGUCAUGUUGCGUAUCUGGUUUUAAUGAUUUGUGUCAGCCCCAAAAGUUAAUUUUCUUUUAUGCACAUGAAGUCAUAAGAAUAAUUAAAAUGAACUAUAAUACGUUAGUUAACUCUUCAACAAUGAUGGUAUAUUUAAAAGACCAAUAUUUGUAUCGUCAUUUUACAAUCGAUAAAGAUUGUAGUAUUGCAAAAUGAUAAACCAUUUAAUGAACAAACAUAAACAUUAGUAUAAAAACUCACGCCGUGCACGGAUUAUCAUCUAAUCCCUACUUAUUCAUAAAACAUGCACCACUGGAAAUGCUCAAAACUCAAAAGAUAUGGACGUAAUAUAAACUGAAAGUUUUGAUUAAGUAACAAAAGAAAAGAACAAGCUUUAUGUCUGGAUGAAAACAGUUAUUUAUUACACUACAAAAGACAACAACUGACUCAAAUCUUUUCUUAUGGAUCAUAUUCAAAUCCAGAUAUCAGAUGUGCAGUCUCCGCCGGGAUAUCUCAUCUCGUGGGCAAGCGCAGGACCAUCGGGUUCUUCACCAAAGUCCACAAAGAAAUCAGGGUUUAUUGAGAGACCACCUUUCUCUGUAUCAACAUCAAUUUGAAUUAUGUGUGAUCCUUUAUCCAUAAGUUCAGGGUAAAACUGACGGUCCCACACGCUGUAUAACGAGUUUGUUGCAUACAGUCGUUUACCAUCAAGGCUAAGCUGAAUCAUUUGAGGUCCUCCUCUCAGAGAUUUCCCCUGAAAACACCGAGAUAUAAUAUAACAGCUUAUAGCAAAGAAACAAUAGAAGCUAAGAUGCUCCAAAAGAUUAAAUUUUGUUUGGUACAAACCUUGAUUUGAGGAACAUCAAACUGGUAAGUACCGCCGUCUUCUCUAACAGCCUUAACAGGACCACCCUUUUGUAGUAAACCACCCACCCAAAUUUGUCCCGUUAAGACAGGGUUUUUAGGGUCUUCGAUGUUAUACUGGCGAAUGUCUCCAUGAAGCCAGUUCACAAAGUAGAAAAAUCGAUCAUCCAGAGAGAUCAAGAAGUCGGUGAUAAGCCCUGGCAUUUCUGGAAGAACCCAGUUUUCUACUUUUAUGGGUUUAACUGAUAUAACGACCUAAAAUCCAGUUCAAUAUUUAUGGGUUAUCAUAUGUUUAAGGUAAAGAAGAAGAUAAAGAAAGUAGACUUGCCUCAUGGCUCCAUGUUUCAUCACUAUUCUUGAAAAAUCUUAUCAUAUUACUCGACAGUGCACUCCCAACAUAUCCUAUAUCUUUAGAUGGAUCAUGCAAGAAUCUGAUCUGCAACCACAUAUAAAUUAUAAGUUAAAAAGAUUAAAAAAACUGAUAACAAUUAUUUCCUUUUAUUUAUGUUUUCUGACGAGAAGAAGAAGCAAAUGACGAUUGUGUGAGAUAUUUGACUACAGGUUACCUCCAAAGGUAUGAGACCAGUAUCUCCAAGGUCAAUUAACUGUUUCAUUUCACCUCCUGGCCAACUGUAAACAUGAAGAUGACUUCCGUAGAAGCCAUCAGCAACGUCCUGGAGAUCAAAACCUUUGGAGAAGGCCUUAGGUGCUCCCAAAGAGGUGCUGAUCAUUGUCUUGUGCCGAGGUUGGUACCAGAAAUCAUAACCGAACAAGGGACUAUGUCCUGGUUUCUCCCACCUGAGAAAUCCCCUCAAAAAAUAUACAUAUCAAGUCCAUUUUAAUGCUUAAAACUUUGCCUUUUGUCUACCCAAGAACACUAUGUUACAUCACAAGUCAUGGCAUUGAUAUGCAAUUUCACUGGCCAUCCCUUCAUGAUAUAUACACUUUUUUACUUGUGAUAUGUUCUUUUUUGUGGCUGCAUACUAUAUUAGGAUGCGAAUGCUCAAAUGUUUUUUAGGCAAAUACUCAAAUGUUGUUUGUUUGUUUUAAAAUCAAUAUCUUGAUGAUGAGUUUGGAUGUAUAAUCAAUUGUAUCUCAAAAAACUUAAAUUUUAGAUGCUAGAAAAAAAAGUCAAAUUUUUGACACAAUCCGGUCAAUUGCAAAACUAAUAUAUUUAUCCUAGAGGACUUACCGGGAAGUCUUCUCUAGUAUUUUUGAGAUUUUUUUGUUAACACGUAAAAGUUGGAAGACUUACAGAGAAGUCGUCUCUAAAAAACUCACAGAAACUCAAUUGGAAAACUAACAUAUGCAUUGACCAGAAGACUUUCGUAUAAGUAUUCCCGUCAGAGAAAAAAAUGAUUUCAUAGCUUCAACCAGUGAGAUAACUUGCUUAACUUCUCUAACCACACAAAAUUUCACCACCAAAGCAACUUACUUGUUAAUGAUCCAGAAUCAUGAGCUUAAAUGGCUCUAUGAACCUUAAAAAAGUUUAGAAUCAAAAUCUUGGAGUUUUUUAUGGAUAUAGAGAGAAAGUGAAAGUGAUGUUUUAGUGCAUAAGAAAUGAGAUAGGAGUGAAAAUUGAUUGGUUGUUCAUGUUUAAGUGCAUUAAGAACUUCAAAUUAGUUAUUUACGGUGGUUGUGUAAUUAUGGCAGUGAUAAUAUUGUAAAUAUUGAUGAAGAUGAGAAUGAUAGAGUAAAACACUCAUUUUCGAAGAAAAAAAUAAUGGCAUUUUUGUGAAUAAUCCAAAGUUUUGAGGUAAAAAAGGCAAAUGAAAGUUUCAAAAAAUCAUGGAUUAGUUUUGUGUUUGACUUUUUGUUUUGAGUCAUAUUUAAAAAAAAAAUCAUAUCUUCUUUCUCCAACUCCCAUACCCUCAUUUCAGCAUCAUGUUAUCAAAAAAAAUAUACUUAUUAGUAUAGAAUAAGUGAUUAGACAUACAAUUUGACCAAUUAUUUUUCAUCCCAGUACUCAAAAAAUAUUUGAUCAUAUACGUCUUAACUUUCGUUAGGUAAUUUUGAACAAAUAAUUAAACUAUACAAUAAAAUACUAAGUGAAAGAAAUUAAAAAUAAAAUUCUAAAUUAUUCAGAAUCACAAAUGGUGGAUGAUUAUAUUCAUGUUGUUUUGAGUUCCACAACAGCAAUAUUUUAAAAACAAUUAAGUUAUUUGAGUUAUUUUAGCUAAAUUAAUUUUAUAAUUAUUUAAUUUAUAUUUCAGACUUUAAUAUUUUAAAAAUUUAUUAAAUUUGUUAGUUAUAACGAUUACACAUUACUAAAUUGUCGUUUAUUUUUUAUUUAAAAUAAAUCUAUUACAUUAUAUCUUAAAAUAUUUGAAUUACAUAAUAUUAUUUAUACGUACCAUCUUUAAAAUAUUUUUAUAAAACAUGAUUAUUAAUUUUACUGAAUUAUAUGUACUUUAAAAGUUGAAUUUCAUAAAUUUUAUUGAGUUUACUAUAUUUUUGAAAUAUAGCUAAAUUUUAUUUAGUUUUAAAAAUAUAUAUAUUAACUAUUACUUGUGUAUUUUUCUGGAGUUUUAAAAUUAAUUAUUUAAAAAUAUAGCUAUUAGUUUUUAUUUUAAAAUAUAUUUUGGAAAAAAUUUAAAUAAAUUUCUUUAUUUUAAUUAUAAUAAUAACAUUUUUAAUGGUUUCCAUUAUAUAUAACUUUUUUAGUUUGAAAAUCAAAAACCAAAAUCUGGUGUCACCAUUCAAGAUUUUGGAAAACUAAAAUCUACUUCAAAAUCAAGAACCAAAAACUAAAAAUCCCAAAACUAAAAACUAAAAACCAAAAACUAAAAUCUAAAAACAAUGCAAAAAUCAUCACCUUAAUAUUUUUAUUUUUAAUGAAAACGGUUUUGUGUUUUCCACUUUAUGCAUUACUUUUGAAAAAAGAAUUGGGUUUGGAAUAUUGAGUUGUGCUAAGAUAGCAUUUUCUGCCCGAGACUGUUUAUUUCACCAAAAUUUCAGAAUUAAAAACAAAAACAAAUAAGCAAACAGUGGUAUAUUAAUAGAGAAAUUACUUGAAAUAUACUAAGUUGUAUACUAUUUUUUCAAAAAUACAUUCAAUCAAAAUACUAUAACACUUGGAUUUAUAGUUUAGUGAUUAUUUUUCAGGGUUUAAUAUCUAGUGGAUGGGUUGGGUUUAUAAGCUCCUAUAAAUCAUUUUUAAAUAUUUAUAAAUAAUUUAGGAAGGUUAAUUUUAUUUUUCUCAUAUAAAUUUAAGUUAUUUGUAAAAUUAAUUAUCAUUUAAAAGUAAAUUUGAAAAUAGUAUUAAAUUUGAGUUAAAGUUAGAAUUUCCCUUUAAUAGUGAUUAUAAAAAAAUUAAGAAAAAAAUUGGGUUUGGAAUAUUGAGUUGUGCUAAGAUAUUAAUAGAGAAAUUACUUGAAAUAUACUAAGUUGUAUACUAUUUUUCAAAAAUACAUUCAAUCAAAAUACUAUAACACUUGGAUUUAUAGUUUAGUGUUUCUGAAAAGAAAGUGAUAAGAAAUUAAAAUAGAGUGAUUUUCUUAAUAAGCUACCUGUUCUUGAUAUUAAAGUCAGAGUCGAGAAGAAGAAACCCACUCCCCUGGGCAUUUCCAUCUUUGUCCCCAAGACAGGACACCAAGAUUUCACCAGAGGCAAGGCAAUGAGUUGUGUGUGGGAAGGCCAAUCCUGUCUUUUCAGCAAUCUCUUUAGGAUCUACGUACUUAUACAAAGAUGGUGCCCUCGGGUCUGCCUUUGUGUCAAUUGCAUAGAUGCGACCAGAUCUUCAUCAAACAAGAAAAAAAAAACAUUUACUGUGUCAUCCUCAAGAAAGAAACUUAAGGGAAAAAAGGAAAGGCUGAAAGAUCUUACAUAAAGGAUGGUAACACGAGAUAACGUCUAUCAGCAGAAGCAUCACCAUGGCAAGAACUGCAAGAGUUCCAACCAGAAUGAUGAAGCUCAUCACCAAGAAAGGGCAUUGGCAAUCUAUGAAUGACGCUACAAUAUGUUGCUGAGCUUGGAUCCACAUCUACCGUUGCCAAGUAAUCUGGCUUCUCUCGUCCCGUUCCUUAAAAUCCCAUUCAAACCAUUCAAAAAGAAAUUAUACUUGUUUGAUAAACGAUUUUAAUCCUAUGCAGUACUUUCAUACCCGAUCUGGAUCUAUGGUCAAAUCAGUAAAUUCAAUGACCCGUAAAUAAUCCGGUUUGGAUUUAGCAAAAAAAAAACCGUUUAUUAAAUCCGAUAAAACUCAGUAAAAUCCCAAACAUAUGGUAUUAAUCCCUGACCCAACACCAGUUGACCAAAUAAAACUCAAAAUUUUUUAUAACAUUUCUAGAAAAAGUUGAUGAAACCUUUCAUGCACUUUUUAAUAUUACAAAAAUAGAAGAAACUACAAGAUUUAUGAUUCUGUAGACUUUGAUAAAAAAAAUUACUAUGUUAUUUACAGAAAAUGAAGAAAACCAAAAUUUAUUGAUAUGAAACUAUUAUUUUAUUUUUAAUAUUGAAAAAUUAUUAUAAGUUUUUAUAUAAUUAUUUAUUUUAUAUUUAAAAGUUAAUUUCAUAAUAUUUUAUUUAAUUAUUUAUUAUCUUAUUUUUAGCCAAAGUUCUUAUUUGGUAUUUAAAAUUAAUACCAAAAAUUAAAAGUUUUUUUACUGCAGACGAAACGAAAAAUUGAAAUCAUAAGAAAAUUUUAAAUAUUUAACUAUAUCUUACAUAUAAAAUUUGAUAUAAUUUUAAUUUUUUUGCUGCUUAAUAAAGUUAUUUUUGUUUAUAUAUAACUAUAUUACAAUUUAUUAAUCUAUUGAACCACCAUCGACUCAAUGACCCGAUGACUCAGAGAAUAAUCCGUUAAACAUCCAGACCGGAUUUAAAAAUAUUGAUCCUAGGUCAAUCUAAUAUCUGCGUAUUUAUUUAAUGUAUAAAAGCACGUGUAUCAUAUAAACGAAACAAAUACGAUGAAAUGUGUACCAGUGUAGACGGCGAUGACGUAGAUGAGCUUUUCCCGUGGACCAGACAUUGCGGCAAGUGGCGUGGCAUAUCCGGGACCUGACUUGCAGCAUCCUUUUUCUCCGCUUCCAACCGGAGCUAUCACUUUAGUUUCAGUCGCCAUUUCUCUGCCUUUUGAAAUCAGAUCUCGUAGUUAUAUAUUAUGUGGUGGGAUCCCAUUAUGUGGUAGUGGUUUUAAGAAACGUCACAUGAAUUGCAAACCCACGUGCUUUUUAUCAAUUUUCCUAGUUAUUUCGAGAAAUUGUAAAAAAUACCACAUUCAUAAUACUACUUUUUAUGUGUUACAAAAGAAAAUAAUACAAAUUUUCAUGUUUAUAAUCAUUUUUACUCUCACAUUUUAAUAAAAGAUAAAAAUAUAUAUUUAUAUAAUUCUAAAAUUAAUUAAUUUAGACUUAAGGUUUAUACUUAAAGGGUAGGGUAAAAUUUUCAGAAUGUGAAAAUUCAAGAUCUAAUAAAUAUAUUAAUAAAUUUUUAAAAAUAAAAAAAAUAAAAAAAAUAGUUUAAAAAAUAAAUUCGAUUUUUAAGAAUAAAUUUUAAAUAAAAAUUCGAAAAUAGAAAUUCAAAAAAACAUUUUCAUGUUUAAAAAGUAUGAUUCAAAAACAAAAAAAGUUUUUAUUUAUUAAAAAAAUAUUUAUUAUAUAUAUAUAGAAAACAAGGGUAUAAGAAUCAUUUUCACUUAAUGAAGACAAUAUUUUUGAAAAUAUUUCUUUAAUGUUGGUAAACAUGAAUAAUUGUACUAAAAAUUGGCAAAGAUGAAAAUUCUCCAUUAACCUAUCCAUUAUUUAAGAAGUGAUUUUUUUUUUUUUGAAAUUUUCUUAUGUGUCAUUACCAUUUUUAUUUUUAUGAGGAAAAAUGAUAUGGAUUGCUACAAAAUUUGAUAUGACUUGAAAUUAAUUGUAACAAGGACAUUCACAUUUAGUGUUGAUAUAUAUUUUUCCUAAGCUUUUAAAAAUAUGGUAAUAACUCUUUUUGGGGCAACUGUAAAAACUCAUAAACUAUUAAGAGAAAAUAAUAUAAAAUGUAAAUACAAAUAUAAUAAUAUUUUAAAAUUUUCUAAGCGUUUAUUGAAUUCUUCUAAGUAAAUAUACAAUUUUUAAUACUAAUAAUCUUCAAAAUUUUAUGAAAUUUAUGAAAACUUAUGAAUUUCUAAUCCUAAUACCAUUGGUUUCCAUUUAAUAUAAAACAAUUUUAGAAAUACUAUUUAAUAUUAUUUUUUGAUAAUUAUACAAUAUUUAAAUCUAAUAAAAGUUUCUCUUUGUUUUAUACAAUUUGGUCUAAUACACUUUACCCAAAAAUAUAGAUAAAAAAAAUUAUCCAAAAUUAUUAAUUUAAAUAUAUAAAUUUAAAAUAAAAAAGUUGUUAAUUUUAUCUUAUUUUUUGUUCAAUCAAAUUAGUAUUAAAAUUAAAAUGUUUCUAAAAAUAAUAAAAUCUUAAAUAUUAACAAAAUUUUAGUUUUAAAUAUUUUUUAAAUUUAAAAUUUUAAUUUAUGCACAUGAUGCAAAAAAUAACUAAUUUACUAAAAUUGUUUCCGUAAAUAGGGGUGGGCACAUAUCGAAUAUUUGGGUAUAUGAAAGUAUUCGUGUCCAUUCAAUCUUUAGCCACCUAGAUAUUUGGUGACUCGGAUAUCCGAAAUGUUUUAAAAUUUUAAAGAAUAUCUGAUUUGAUCCGUAGAGAAAAUAAAAUUUAAAAUAUAAUUUAAAAUUUUAAUAAUAACGUUUUAUUACAAAAAUAAAACAUUAUUUAACUUUUUAAAUUCUAGUACCUAAUAUAAUAAAUUUAAUUCUUUAAAUUAAUUUAAAACUGAUAUAAAGUAUAAUAUAUAUAAUGUGUAUAUAUAUAAUUCUUUACAUAUAUGUAUAUAUAUGCAUAUAACAGAUCGAAUUAGAUAUAUGUUCCAAAAAAUAUUGGUAUUUGUGAUUUGCUUCUUUUUUGGAUAUUGUAUUUUAGUAUUUGAUUUGUUUUGUAGAGUUAUAGAUAUCCAGAUUUUUUGGUUCAAAUCAAAACGAAUAACGAAUCGAAUCAAAAUUUAUGAUAUUUUGUUCAACUUUAUCCGUAAACAAUAAAAAUAAUAUAUAUAUUGUUCGGCUUUUGAUUCUUUAUCUAUUUUUAUUUGAACCGAAAAAUCCAGCGUUUAAUUGGAACCAUGUAUGUGUGUUUUAUAUUAAAAAAAAUUGCGAAGUACAUAGUGUAAACACAUUUAUGAAUAUAGUGUAAACGCAUUAGCAUACUUAUUAUCAAAUCAUUGUAAGGUUGUCACGUGUCUAUUAUAGUGUGAAUGCAUUCAUUACAAUGCUUCUCUUUUAGUAUAUAAAGGAUGACGAGGCUUUUAAGUUUUUUUCUUUAGACAUUUCAGCAUUUCAGCUUAAUUUUUUUCUUAUCGUUAAGGUUUAAGAUCGUCUUUUGCCAAGACUUUUGUUAUUAUGUAUGAGCGGCACCAUAUGCAGGAGGGCUGGCGUAUUUCAAGGCAAAAAUAGGUGUGAAGUAGAUUCAGCUUAAUAUAUCAGAAUUGGUAAUAGGUGCGAGUAAUUCGGCUUAUCUUGUAUCCACUUGAGUGUUAUUUAGGACGCUUGGUGGUUUGUAUUUCUCAAGUGUUUACCAGGGGGUGGGGGAGCGGGGGCACGGUAAGUGAUCUCAGAAGAUUCUUUUCACGGGCAUGGGUGUCGUUUCACCAAGGAACCUAUGAGAGAAGCCCAAAAGAAAUAGGACUGCCUGGCCAGGGUGCCGAUGUAAAGAACGAGGGAGCUCUAAGACAUGAGGCUUUAUAGAUUUAUAGAAUUUUUAAGAUAGAGCUUAGAAGCUUGUGUCUAUUUUUAGAGUUAGGGAGCUCGUAUUGACUCAGAGCUAAGGAGCUCGUAAUGAACUUGAUGUUCUGAAAUUUUAUUUUAUUAAUAUAUUAUAUGUACUCAGAAUGGGUUGUCUACGUAUCGUAAGUGGGAUCAAGCCUUGCUGUAGUUCACUUUUAUUACAAAAUAUGAGGUUCAUCAUGAACCGUGUUUUUAGCUUUUGAACUCCUUCUACUUCUUUUUAUCUUCCUCGCCUUCUUUUGGUGGUUAUACAUCCUGCUGUUGGAAAUUUGACGUAUUGAUGGUAGGUCGAUGCAACCGCUUUCAUUGUGUAUAUCCAAGGUGUCCCACGGAUAAUUUUAUAUAUAUAUGGGCAGUCGAUGAUUGUGAACUUAGUGUCCAACAUGACUCCACUGGCAUAGGUCGGUAGCCUUAUGGUUCCAAAAAGACUUUGUGAGAAACCGUUGAAGCUUGUAAGGGCUUGCCUAGAUGAUUUGAUUUAAAGGUUAGUUAGUUCCAUCUUCUCCAGUAUGUCUUUGUAGAUCACAUUUACUGACCUUCCAGUGUCUACUAAUGACCUGAUUAUCUCCAGUCCAUCAGCAUUAUCUAUAUCACCAAUGGGUUGUUAUGUGGCCAGUCUAGGUUCUCCACUUUUGGUCUGUGAAUUCAAUGAUUGUGUCAUCUUCUACCAUCUCUCUAGUCUUUGUGGAUAUAUAAUUUACUUACCUGCCAUAUCCCUUGAGUGCUCAUACGGAAUUAUCACAGAAGGGGUUUCCUUUUAUUAUCACGUUACCUCUCUUUCUUGGGUUUGUGGUCAUGGUAUUUCCGAGCUCUUGGUCUACCGAUCUCUCUUUACAAUAAAUUCUUUGGAUUUUGGCAUAGCUUCCUUGAAAUGUGCUCAUCCUUCUUGUUUGAUCCAAAAACGGUGUUUAUGCUGGUGUUGUUUGUUAGAAUCAUACAAUAAAGAAUCUAAUGAUAAUGAUUAGAUUCUUGAGGUUUAGGAGAAAUCUUCAUAGAAUCAAAUGAGAAAAAGAACAUCCAAAGAUCAUUGAAUCUAGACAGAAAAAGAUCCAACAGACAUGAUUGGACAAAGUACUGAUAAGAGUUUUAAUAGACAAUGAUGAAUCCACACGAAUUUAAUAUAUGGAUUUGAUGCUACUGUCUUACCGAGACUGUCUAAAAGUACAUAAUUACAGGUAAAAAAACAGAUCAAUGAUUAUUCCUAGUGAGGAGUGAAUGUGACGUUUGUUUUUUCUUUUUCACAUGUUUGAUACAAAUAGUGGGAGUUAGAGAAACCAUAAUUUUUCACAUACUUUUCCUCUAUACCUCUAUAGUAAGAUACCCAGUCAUACCCUUUAAUAUACAUGAACCAUGAUAAUGUUCUCCGUUUAACAUCUAAUGUAAUCUUACUGUUAUUUUCUGAUUUAGAUUAAUUCUUAUGUUAGAUUUUCAAUGUACAUUUUGAUCCUGAUUUUUAGUACUAUAGUUUACUAAAAAUCAACAUAUGAGUGCAGUGGUGGAGUAUUUAAACGUAUACUAUAUUAAAAGCUUGGAGUAUAAGUUGUGAGGGUCCGUUGGGUCAUUUUCUGUAUGUUGUAGGCUUGUACCCCAAAGCUCAAAGUCACAAAAAUAGAUUUCAUUAAAGAAGGUAAAUAUACACUUAUACCCCUUGGGUUAAUUAAUCCCAACCUUAAGCUUUAAAGUUAAAGGGUGGAGUUUUGGAAUUAUGGUUUAAAAUUUUAUAAAAUAAAAAAUAAAUACUAAAAAAUUAAAAAUAAAAAUAAAAAAAAAACAGUUUCAAAAAGAAAAUAAAAACAAAUUCGAAAAAAAAAUUAUAAAAAAAAUUAUAAAAAAUUUCGAAUCUGAAAACAUAUAAUCUGAAACUAUAAAAAAAAUUUCUUUUUUCUUUUUUUUUGAAAAUCGAAAAUUAUGUUUGAAACUAUUUUUAAUUUUUUUUUAUAUUUUUUAUAUUUAUUUAUAUAUUUAUUAGAAUCCUAAAUUUCAUAUUCCAAAAACCCUACUCCACCCCUCAACUCUAAACCCUAAGUCUAGAUUAGUUAACUCUAGUGCAUAAGUGUCUUCUACCCUCCAUUAAAAGUGAAAAUAAAAGUGAUUAGUGUAGACAUGAAAAAUAAUACUAUGAAAUGGUAUUUGUGGCAAUUUCCCUUUUUAGGUGCACUUAAAGCUUGGUUUUAGUUGUUAAUGGUGAUUUGAGUAUUUAUGAUGACAAUGACAGUAAAAAUUGAAUAUAUAAGUGAUGAAAAUAAAAAUGUACGAGUAAAACAAGUAUUUAAAAAAAAAUAUAGAAAAAAUCAAAGUAAUUACAUUUUCUUUAAUAAAAGGCAAAUGAAUUUUUUAAGUUAUUUUUUUACCACAAUUUUAGGUCAUAUUUGAAAGAAUUCAUUUAUAUCUUAAAAUAAGUUUAUUUUAAGAAAUUUAACAUCCUAGCUUAAUAUUUUUAUAUUUUACAAUAUUUAUAAAUAUGUAUCAAUAACAAUUAUCAAACAAAAUAGAAGUAAGUAUCAUAAAAUUAUAUAUUUUUAACUUUUUCGAUCCAUUUCACACAAAAAAAUAUUUAGUUAUAAAAAUAAUAGUUUAUUAAAAAAUAAUUUCACUAUAGUUAAGAAAACAAAAUUGUUCCCAAAAUUAUUUGAACCAAGUUUAUAUGAAUAGAACAUAAAAUAAUAAAUUUUGGUAAAAAUAUUUUUCAAAUAUAUUUAUUUGCUACAGUAUAAUUUAUCUGGAAUAAAUAUCUAAGACAUCUUACCAACCAAGUAGAAUUCGUCACUUCUAUCAAUCUAUAUUUGUUUCAUUCAGAAAAGACUGGAAGCUCUCUUUUUUCCAAAACGUGGAACACAUGACCUUUUUUUUAUUGGUUAAAAAUAUACGUGGUCCAUAUUUUCUUGGUUUUCAACUCAGACAAAUCUACUAUUUUUAUCCUUUCGACACCGUUGUAACUAGGCCUGAGACUUUUAUCCGAGAUCCGGGAUUUGAUCUGGAUCCGAUCCAAAAACCUGGAUAUCCAAAAUGGUUGAAUUUGGAUCCGGAUAGUAAAAUGUUGGAUCCGUCAAAGCCAAAUUCAGAUUCAGAUAUCUUGAUUUUUUAGUCCGGAUAUUCAGAUCCAUAAGUUUUAUCAAUAACUAUUUUAAAAAUAGUAAUAUAUAGAUAUAUAAAAACGAACUUUAUUUAAUAUAUUUUCAUUUUUAUAAUAGUAUAUGUAAAUUAUAUGAAAAUUUUAUGUAAUUUUUUUAAUAUUAUACAUAGAAAUAAUUAAAAAAAUUAUUUUUUUAUUUUUUUAAAUUAUUUUAAAUAUUUUAUAUAUAUUAAUAUUAUUUUUUUAUUUUUGUGAAGGAUCCAAAUCCGAAUCCGGAUAUCCGCCGGAUAUUACAAUUUUGAGAAGGAUAUCGGAUAUCCGGAUAUCCGAAAACCCCGGAGUCAGAUAAAAAUAGUAAAAUUAUGGAUCCGCCGGAUAAGGAUCCGGAUCCGGAUACCUUAAAGUUGCCCGGAUACCAAAUCCGUUCCAGGCCUAGUUGUAAAUGUUCCAUAUGUUGAAAAUAAUUUAUUUAAUAAUGUUGUUGUCUUAUUAACUUGGAGAUGUCCAAAUCCAUGGAUUUGCAAAUGGACCCGAAAAAUAAAACCAUAUUCACGUAAUUAUCUAGGAGUAAUGUGAUUUAGUUUCGCGCAUCAGCUGAACUGAACUUGAAACGUGUUAGUGUUGUUCCAGCCUCAUCCUCUUACCCCCUCACCACGUUAUCCCAAACUUUAAUAAUGUUUUCCUCCUCAUGUCUUAUCUUUGAGAGAGUUUUAUAUUAUAUAUAAUAAUAAGAGAAAACUUUUAAAAUACUUAAUUUUCAAAAAAUACACUCAAUAGAAAAUAUUUUAAUAUUUAGUUUUAGAGUUUAUUGAUUAUUUUUUUAUGAUUUAGUAUUUAUGGGAUGUGAUUGAAUUUAUAAAUUCUAUACAUACUAGAGUCUUUGGCCGUGCUACGCGCAGAAAAUAGUUUUUAAAUAUAUUAUAUUUAGGAUGGAAAUAUUUGCAAAUAUGAAAAUUUAGUGUAAUUAAGAUUUGAUUGGAUUUUGGAAAAAACAAUUUAUCGGCAGAGAGAUAAAAUUAAAGAAAGAAUUGAUGAAAAUAGAUUUGACUGCACUUAUUAUAUCCGAGGGGAUAAUAUAAUAGCUUGUUAGGAAAAGAAUAAACAAACAAAAAGAGGUUGGAGAGUGUUUUUUUGUUUUUGGCUAUAGCUUUGAUUUGUCUUAAUGUUUUAUGUCUCGUUGAACAGGUGAAGUUACUCUUAACUUCAUUCUUUGGUUGACUUGGUAUUCGUCCUUUGAAGUGCUUGCCUCCGGUGGUCGUUUUCUCCUUUGCCGUCGAAGGGCUCUCCUCCUCCAUGUUUCUCCAUUUUCCUUUGCUUCAUUUUUUCUCCUUAGCCGCUCUCCGAUAUGUGGUUGUCCCUGGAGCUCGAACGUCCGCCGGCGGAGGAGCCUAGGCCGAUUCCGGCGGUCGUUUCGUUCCUCUGGUGACACUGGGAGGCUGGUGUGCAAUGGCGGGAGGUUGGAGUCGGUUCUUUGGGUAGGGUUUAGUCCGAAGCCAUUUUUCCUUUCUUAGAUCUAUGGCGAAACUCUGUGAUUGACGGCGCGUGGUUACGGUGGAGGGCUCCUCCGUCCCGGAUCUAUUCUUUCUUCUGGCGGUUCUUAUCUAUUGUUGUCCUGGUUGAGUGGCUUGACGGCGCGUCUUUCUCCUUUGUGUGAGGCGUCUCGGCGAGGUCUCACCUCUAUGGUGCAUCUGAGGUCUUCCGGGUUCGUCGUGUGUCGUCUCUGGCAGCUUCUCGUUUGAUGUGUGCGGCCACGACUAGGCUGUCGAUUCAGAGUCGUCUAUGGCUUCGAUUCAAUUUGUGCUCGUGGUGCUUCCGUCUUGUUCUCCUCUAGCCUCGGCGCUCCCUCCGGUUCUAUGGGUCCUUCUCGGCUGUUCUUCAGAUGUUAGUUUAUGUUCCGUUUGCAAGUCGGUCAGCGUCUUGGUUCUUACUUCUAUUCAAAGAUAUUGGGCAUUGUAUCAGAGGUCUCCAGUUCGCGUAACUGCUGAGACAAAACUAAUAUUACAUGCUAUAGUUUCGAGUAUGGGGGUUUGCCUCUGAACCUCCUAGUAUUCAAAANNNN